This 459-nucleotide ribosomal RNA is filed under the name uncultured bacterium. RNAcentral's name for it is "bacterial SSU rRNA". It matches the Rfam family "Bacterial small subunit ribosomal RNA", at positions 30 to 477 of the family's 1533-position model. The record is from RNAcentral.
AUUGAACGCUGGCGGCAGGCUUAACACAUGCAAGUCGAACGGUAACAGGAGAAAGCUUGCUUUCUUGCUGACGAGUGGCGGACGGGUGAGUAAUGCUUGGGAAUCUGGCUUAUGGAGGGGGAUAACGACGGGAAACUGUCGCUAAUACCGCGUAGAGUCGAGAGACGAAAGUGCGGGACCGCAAGGCCGCAUGCCAUAGGAUGAGCCCAAGUGGGAUUAGGUAGUUGGUGGGGUAAAGGCCUACCAAGCCGACGAUCUCUAGCUGGUCUGAGAGGAUGACCAGCCACACCGGGACUGAGACACGGCCCGGACUCCUACGGGAGGCAGCAGUGGGGAAUAUUGCGCAAUGGGGGCAACCCUGACGCAGCCAUGCCGCGUGAAUGAAGAAGGCCUUCGGGUUGUAAAGUUCUUUCGGUAUUGAGGAAGGUUGUUGUGUUAAUAGCACGACAAAUGACGUNA